CGGGCCUAAUACAUGCAAGUCGAACGAACUCUGGUAUUGAUUGGUGCUUGCAUCAUGAUUUACAUUUGAGUGAGUGGCGAACUGGUGAGUAACACGUGGGAAACCUGCCCAGAAGCGGGGGAUAACACCUGGAAACAGAUGCUAAUACCGCAUAACAACUUGGACCGCAUGGUCCGAGUUUGAAAGAUGGCUUCGGCUAUCACUUUUGGAUGGUCCCGCGGCGUAUUAGCUAGAUGGUGGGGUAACGGCUCACCAUGGCAAUGAUACGUAGCCGACCUGAGAGGGUAAUCGGCCACAUUGGGACUGAGACACGGCCCAAACUCCUACGGGAGGCAGCAGUAGGGAAUCUUCCACAAUGGACGAAAGUCUGAUGGAGCAACGCCGCGUGAGUGAAGAAGGGUUUCGGCUCGUAAAACUCUGUUGUUAAAGAAGAACAUAUCUGAGAGUAACUGUUCAGGUAUUGACGGUAUUUAACCAGAAAGCCACGGCUAACUACGUGCCAGCAGCCGCGGUAAUACGUAGGUGGCAAGCGUUGUCCGGAUUUAUUGGGCGUAAAGCGAGCGCAGGCGGUUUUUUAAGUCUGAUGUGAAAGCCUUCGGCUCAACCGAAGAAGUGCAUCGGAAACUGGGAAACUUGAGUGCAGAAGAGGACAGUGGAACUCCAUGUGUAGCGGUGAAAUGCGUAGAUAUAUGGAAGAACACCAGUGGCGAAGGCGGCUGUCUGGUCUGUAACUGACGCUGAGGCUCGAAAGUAUGGGUAGCAAACAGGAUUAGAUACCCUGGUAGUCCAUACCGUAAACGAUGAAUGCUAAGUGUUGGAGGGUUUCCGCCCUUCAGUGCUGCAGCUAACGCAUUAAGCAUUCCGCCUGGGGAGUACGGCCGCAAGGCUGAAACUCAAAGGAAUUGACGGGGGCCCGCACAAGCGGUGGAGCAUGUGGUUUAAUUCGAAGCUACGCGAAGAACCUUACCAGGUCUUGACAUACUAUGCAAAUCUAAGAGAUUAGACGUUCCCUUCGGGGACAUGGAUACAGGUGGUGCAUGGUUGUCGUCAGCUCGUGUCGUGAGAUGUUGGGUUAAGUCCCGCAACGAGCGCAACCCUUAUUAUCAGUUGCCAGCAUUAAGUUGGGCACUCUGGUGAGACUGCCGGUGACAAACCGGAGGAAGGUGGGGAUGACGUCAAAUCAUCAUGCCCCUUAUGACCUGGGCUACACACGUGCUACAAUGGAUGGUACAACGAGUUGCGAACUCGCGAGAGUAAGCUAAUCUCUUAAAGCCAUUCUCAGUUCGGAUUGUAGGCUGCAACUCGCCUACAUGAAGUCGGAAUCGCUAGUAAUCGCGGAUCAGCAUGCCGCGGUGAAUACGUUCCCGGGCCUUGUACACACCGCCCGUCACACCAUGAGAGUUUGUAACACCCAAAGUCGGUGGGGUAACCUUUUAGGAACCAGCCGCCUAAGG
This 1454-nucleotide ribosomal RNA is filed under the name Lactiplantibacillus plantarum. RNAcentral describes it as "bacterial SSU rRNA". It matches the Rfam family "Bacterial small subunit ribosomal RNA". The record is from RNAcentral. Lineage: Bacteria; Bacillati; Bacillota; Bacilli; Lactobacillales; Lactobacillaceae.